UUUUUUUUUCCCUGCCUUGUAAUUAGAAGUGGUUACAUUCCUGUUCUGAAGGAUGAGAAGGAUGAGUCGUGGCAUUGUCAGCUCUGAAACAAGAUGAACUCAGAAAGGGCAACUUGAAGACUGACAGUGUUCUGGGUUUGAAGUUUCUGAACUUGCAAACACUUUUCCUGUUAAUUUCACACCUACAAACUUAAAUACAGUUGUGUGUUGCUUAGCAAUGGGGACAUGCUCUGAGAAAUGUGUCCUUAGGUGGUUGUAUCCUUGUGCAAACAUAACAGAGUGCAUUUACACACACCUGGAUGGCACAGCCCAACACACACCUGGAUGGCACAGCCCAACACACACCUGGAUGGCACAGCCCAACACAAACCUGGGCUGCGUGGUGUAGCCCAUUGCACCUAGGUUGCAAACCUAGUAGCUAAAUACUGUUCCAAACACUGUAGGCAGUAGUAACACAACGAUAUUUGUGUAUCUAAACAUAGAAAAGGUAUAGUAAAAACAGAGUAUAAACUUAAAAAAAAAGAGUGCACCGGUACAAGACACACUUACCACGAAUGGAGUAAGCUGCUCUGGGUGACUGAUGAGUGAGUGAUGAGUGAGGGUGAAGGCCUUGGACAUGGCUGUGCACUACUCUGGACUCUCUCAACACUAUACACUUAGGCUGCAAGAAACUUGAAAUAUUUCUUUCUUCAAUAAGAAAAGCUAAACUUAGCUUACUGUGUAACUUUUUAACUUUAUAAUUUUUUUAACCUUUGGGUCCUUGUCCAAAAGGGUCCAAACACCUAGCUUAAAAUACCAACAUGUUGUACAGUUGUACAAAAAUAUUUUCUUUCUUUAUAUUCUUAUUCUAUAAGCUUUUUCUCUAUUUGUAAAUGUUUUUGUUAAAAACAAAGACACACACACACAUUAGCUUAGGCCUACACAGGGUCAGGAUGAUCCGUAUCACUGUCCCCCACCUCCACCUCUUGUCCCACUAGAAGGUCUUCAGGGACAAUGACACGCAUGGAGCUGUCAUCUCCUGUGACAGUUAUACGUUCUUCUGGAUACCUCCUGGGGCU
Molecule: long non-coding RNA, 1058 nt
Filed under: Macaca fascicularis (crab-eating macaque)
Lineage: Eukaryota; Metazoa; Chordata; Mammalia; Primates; Cercopithecidae
Description: lncRNA (ENSMFAG00000061335.1)
Source: RNAcentral